Long non-coding RNA from Phymastichus coffea, 376 nucleotides. RefSeq lists it as uncharacterized. The record is from RefSeq and is a predicted model, not a curated record. Lineage: Eukaryota; Metazoa; Arthropoda; Insecta; Hymenoptera; Eulophidae. The transcript is spliced from 3 exons.
GCGAAUGACGCACACCUGUCGGUGAAAGUUCGCAAAUCAAAAUUAUAUAUGUGCCAAAAUAUUGUUUUUUUGUUUGAAAGGUAUGGAGCAGUGAUGGAGUACGAUUAAUAAUGGAGCUGAGAACGUUCACACAGAUUGCGAAAUUUGAGGAUAUUGCCAUGAUGGCAGGUAGAUCUGAUGUGAGAGAAAAUCCCUGAUUUUACCGAAGUGAAUUCAAUGAUGUCAACUCGAACCCAACCCAACCGCACCGCUUACUGGAGUCAGCAGUUUUUCAGUAAUGGAGAAUCGAACUCAAGCCCCAAGUCACUUGCGCAGCAUUGGUUAUUGGAUUAUUUAGCAUUGGUUCAGAAGCGUGAACAUCUUACGAAUUGAGCUA